Punica granatum (pomegranate) is the source of this 782-nucleotide non-coding RNA. The record is from RefSeq and is a predicted model, not a curated record. NCBI's taxonomy places the organism in Eukaryota, Viridiplantae, Streptophyta, Magnoliopsida, Myrtales, Lythraceae.
UGGCCAGUCUAAAGCUUUCUUCUCCAUUUCUUCAUUUUCCAUUUCCAAGUUGAAGUCUUGAGUAGGUUAGAUACUAAACCAUUUCACCUAGUGAAAGAGCUCGAAAAAGAGGUAGGUUUAUUCUAAGAUAUCUAUUCUAACUAAUAAGCUUGAUAUUGGAUGUCUUAGUUGAGCAUAUAUGUAUAUACUUAUAUUGAGAUGUUGGCUUGUUGGUUGAUUUGUUUAAUGGGAAUAGAUAGCCAAGGAAGGUUAUUGAUCAUUAUCAAACAAGGUAAGUGGAUGGCUUUACUGACUGGGUUCAUAUUAACUAAGUGGCUAUGAAGUUCCCCUGAAUGUUAAUGGAUACUUUAAGUUGAGAAAGUCAUUGAUCUAUUGAGCUAAUGAGAACAUUGAGAAUGGAAUGGGGGUGCGAGUUGCCCUUGAGUCAUGUAUUGACUCUAAACCUCCGGAGGAUUGUUAAUCGGAGUUUGCAAUGGUUUCGAGGAUCAAAGACAUGAGUGGAAGCUAUAUUGAGGGGAUCGAGUCGAGAACAAGGAGAUGGUUAGGGACUUCUGUGUCUAGGAUGCUGUAGUUACCUUUUGAUGAUGGGGAAUCGAGCUUGAAAAGUGACCUCUUAAGAGGCUGCAUUAUUCUGUAUGGUUGAAGCGUACGACUAUUCUUGGCUCUUAUAGAUAUUGUAUAUGUACGUUGGGCACUCUAGUUCAGGUUUUCUUGUGUAAAAGAUGUUGAACAAAAUAUCUAUGAGCAAGAUUUAUAAAACAGCAAAGAGGCAAAUGAGUUUA